UACGUAGGGGGCAAGCGUUAUCCAGAUUUACUGGGCGUAAAGCGCGUGUAGGCGGCUGGUUAGGCGUGAUGUGAAAUCUUCCGGCUCAACCGGAAAACUGCAUUGCGAACCGGCCUGGCUAGAGUGCAGGAGAGGGAAGCGGAAUUCCGGGUGUAGCGGUGAAAUGCGUAGAUAUCCGGAGGAACACCGGUGGCGAAGGCGGCUUCCUGGACCGACACUGACGCUGAGGCGCGAAAGCUAGGGGAGCAAACGGG
RNAcentral lists this ribosomal RNA (254 nucleotides) under uncultured bacterium. Its description in RNAcentral is "partial 16S ribosomal RNA". It matches the Rfam family "Bacterial small subunit ribosomal RNA", at positions 524 to 776 of the family's 1533-position model. The record is from RNAcentral.